GCCUACGGGGGGCAGCAGUGGGGAAUAUUGCACAAUGGGGGAAACCCUGAUGCAGCAACGCCGCGUGAGUGAAGAAGUAUUUCGGUAUGUAAAGCUCUAUCAGCAGGGAAGAAAAUGACAGUACCUGACUAAGAAGCCCCGGCUAACUACGUGCCAGCAGCCGCGGUAAUACGUAGGGGGCAAGCGUUAUCCGGAUUUACUGGGUGUAAAGGGAGCGUAGACGGCUGCGCAAGUCAGAAGUGAAAGCCCGGGGCUCAACCCCCGGACUGCUCUGGAAACUGCCAGGCUGGAGUGCAGGAGAGGUA
This 305-nucleotide ribosomal RNA is filed under the name uncultured bacterium. RNAcentral describes it as "bacterial SSU rRNA". It matches the Rfam family "Bacterial small subunit ribosomal RNA", at positions 337 to 659 of the family's 1533-position model. The record is from RNAcentral.